CGGACGGGUGAGUAAUGUCUGGGAAACUGCCUGAUGGAGGGGGAUAACUACUGGAAACGGUAGCUAAUACCGCAUAACGUCGCAAGACCAAAGAGGGGGACCUUCGGGCCUCUUGCCAUCAGAUGCGCCCAGAUGGGAUUAGCUAGUAGGUGGGGUAACGGCUCACCUAGGCGACGAUCCCUAGCUGGUCUGAGAGGAUGACCAGCCACACUGGAACUGAGACACGGUCCAGACUCCUACGGGAGGCAGCAUG
Molecule: ribosomal RNA, 253 nt
Filed under: uncultured bacterium
Lineage: Bacteria
Description: partial 16S ribosomal RNA
Rfam family: Bacterial small subunit ribosomal RNA
Source: RNAcentral